GUCUACGGCCAUGCUACCCUGAACAAGCCCGAUCUCGUCUGAUCUUGGAAGCUAAGCAGGGUUGAGCUUGGUUAGUACUUGGAUGGGAGACCACCUAGGAAAACCAGAUGCUGUAGACG
This 119-nucleotide ribosomal RNA is filed under the name Pteropus vampyrus (large flying fox). Lineage: Eukaryota; Metazoa; Chordata; Mammalia; Chiroptera; Pteropodidae. The record is from RNAcentral.